GACCGCUGGCGGCGUUCUUAACACAUGCAAGUCGAACGGCCAGGCCCUGCUUUUGUGGGGUGCUCGAGUGGCGAACGGGUGAGUAACACGUGAGUAAACUGCCCUUGACUUUGGGAUAACUUCAGGAAACUGGGGCUAAUACCGGAUAGGAGCUCCUGCUGCAUGGUGGGGGUUGGAAAGUUUCGGCGGUUGGGGAUGGACUCGCGGCUUAUCAGCUUGUUGGUGGGGUAGUGGCUUACCAAGGCUUUGACGGGUAGCCGGCCUGAGAGGGUGACCGGCCACAUUGGGACUGAGAUACGGCCCAGACUCCUACGGGAGGCAGCAGUGGGGAAUAUUGCACAAUGGGCGGAAGCCUGAUGCAGCAACGCCGCGUGCGGGAUGACGGCCUUCGGGUUGUAAACCGCUUUCGCCUGUGACGAAGCGUGAGUGACGGUAAUGGGUAAAGAAGCACCGGCUAACUACGUG
RNAcentral lists this ribosomal RNA (465 nucleotides) under uncultured bacterium. Its description in RNAcentral is "partial 16S ribosomal RNA". It matches the Rfam family "Bacterial small subunit ribosomal RNA", at positions 31 to 507 of the family's 1533-position model. The record is from RNAcentral.